RNAcentral lists this ribosomal RNA (454 nucleotides) under uncultured bacterium. RNAcentral describes it as "bacterial SSU rRNA". It matches the Rfam family "Bacterial small subunit ribosomal RNA", at positions 29 to 506 of the family's 1533-position model. The record is from RNAcentral.
ACGAACGCUGGCGGCGUGCCUAACACAUGCAAGUCGAACGGGUUCCGCAAGGGACCAGUGGCGAACGGGUGCGUAACACGUGAGGAACCUGUCCAUCGGCGGGGGAUAGCCGGCCCAACGGCCGGGUAAUACCGCGUACGACCAUCGGGGGGCAUCUCCUGGUGGUGAAAGCAGCAAUGCACCGAUGGAGGGCCUCGCGGCCUAUCAGCUAGUUGGUGAGGUAAUGGCUCACCAAGGCGACGACGGGUAGCUGGUCUGAGAGGAUGAUCAGCCACAUUGGGACUGAGACACGGCCCAGACUCCUACGGGAGGCAGCAGUGGGGAAUAUUGCGCAAUGGGCGAAAGCCUGACGCAGCGACGCCGCGUGUGGGAUGACGGCCUUCGGGUUGUAAACCACUGUCGGGAGGGACGAAGUUCUGACGGUACCUCCAAAGGAAGCACCGGCUAACUCUGU